UACGUAGGGUGCGAGCGUUAAUCGGAAUUACUGGGCGUAAAGCGUGCGCAGGCGGUUGUGCAAGACAGAGGUGAAAUCCCCGAGCUCAACUUGGGAACUGCCUUUGUGACUGCAUAGCUAGAGUGUGUCAGAGGGGGGUAGAAUUCCACGUGUAGCAGUGAAAUGCGUAGAUAUGUGGAGGAAUACCGAUGGCGAAGGCAGCCCCCUGGGAUAACACUGACGCUCAUGCACGAAAGCGUGGGGAGCAAACAGG
Molecule: ribosomal RNA, 253 nt
Filed under: uncultured bacterium
Lineage: Bacteria
Description: partial 16S ribosomal RNA
Rfam family: Bacterial small subunit ribosomal RNA
Source: RNAcentral